UUCGCGGACUUGAUCAGCUCAUAAGCUCGUCGCAGGGCAGCUGCAUCUGUCGGGCAGAUCAGCAGAAAGGCCCGGCAUGGGUGUGUCAAAAAGACACAGUCCCCGGAAAAACCUUCCUCUGAAUUCAGGGGUCUGAAUUCCUAGUCAGACUGCCCACAACGCUCCCAACUCAACAAUUAGGCCUCAACAACUCCCGCAUCACGGGAGGCCUUCUGUGCCACUCUCCUGGGCUCAAGAGACUCCCAUUAGCAGAGGUGCCACCUGUGGCAGGUCUACUUGUGACAUCGAUCUAAGCUUUUAGGGAUGUGAGGAGUGAAGACUGAGCAGAUCUGCCUGUAGCUGCGGUCUGGGACAGAAGCCCCAUUCCAAGGGACCGGAGCAGUCGUGGAGUCAGGAAAGGAACCAGACAAAACCGGAAGCCAGAGAGGAACCCCACCUGGAAGGAGAGCAGUGGAGCUGGACCAACCAGGGAAGAGAUUGGAAUCCAAUACUGAAGUGUGAGCGCUACUGAAUACAGGCUUCUUUUGCACCUUUAUGAGGCGGGAAAAUGCCAUGGACCAUCUAUGUGUGGGUGUAUAAUAAAGUUGGGUAUGGCUGAUACAAUAUUGAAACUUAAAUGUCACAUUUUCCCAAGGGUCCCAGAGCAGUAUUCCACCCUAGAGACAGAAGCCCCAAGUCCCUCUAACUUGACCAUCUCUCCAUUCCUAAGAUUGCACUGUUAUGAGUCUUCGCUUAUUCAUAAAGAUUCUCUGCAAUGUGUACACUGCUGUAAACAUAAAGAUAUUUACUCCCACCAAGCAACCAUCGCUCACGCAUUAUGAAGCAAGAUCUGUUUCCGAAUCCAAGCACAUCAAAUA
Myodes glareolus (Bank vole) is the source of this 857-nucleotide long non-coding RNA. RefSeq lists it as uncharacterized. NCBI's taxonomy places the organism in Eukaryota, Metazoa, Chordata, Mammalia, Rodentia, Cricetidae. The record is from RefSeq and is a predicted model, not a curated record.